Haemorhous mexicanus (house finch) is the source of this 415-nucleotide long non-coding RNA. RefSeq lists it as uncharacterized. The record is from RefSeq and is a predicted model, not a curated record. Lineage: Eukaryota; Metazoa; Chordata; Aves; Passeriformes; Fringillidae. The transcript is spliced from 2 exons.
CCCCGAACCCCCAGCCCCGGAUACGUACCCCAGGUCCUCCAGCGACUCCAGCACAUCGUUCUCCAGGAGCUCGAAUUCCAUCCUGCGGCGGGGCACGACGGGUGGACCUGCGCGACACGGGACUCAGCGCUACCGGCGCCGGCGCGGGCAGACCCGGAAGCAGGACUCCUCCCUCUCCGCCGCGCAGGAAUGUGCUGCGGCGAGCGGCGUCGCGGCAACGGGCGGGGCAGGGAGAGAGGACGGGGCGGCGGAAGGGUCAAACCACUCCAGGGAGCGAGAGUGCGUCCCCACCCUGCAGGACCCCUAGCCACGGCCAGGACCACAAAUCCCGGCAUGCCUUGCGCGCGGCACAGCCUUUCGCCGGGGGCGCCGGGUGCCGAAUAAAAUCAAUAAACAAUAAAAUUAACAAAUCGAA